AGUGAACGCUGGCGGCAGGCCUAACACAUGCAAGUCGAGCGGCAGCGCGGUGUAGCAAUACACUGGUGGCGAGCGGCGGACGGGUGAGGAAUGCGUCGGAAUCUGCCUCUUUGUGGGGGAUAACGUAGGGAAACUUACGCUAAUACCGUAUACGACCUACGGGUGAAAGUGGGGGACCUUCGGGCCUCACGCAGAGAGAU
RNAcentral lists this ribosomal RNA (200 nucleotides) under uncultured bacterium. Its description in RNAcentral is "partial 16S ribosomal RNA". It matches the Rfam family "Bacterial small subunit ribosomal RNA", at positions 29 to 226 of the family's 1533-position model. The record is from RNAcentral.